AAUCAACGCUGGCGGCGUGCCUCAGACAUGCAAGUCGAACGAUUAAAGCUCUCUUCGGAGAGUGUAUAGAGUGGCGCACGGGUGAGUAACACGUAAGUAAUCUACCUUCGAGUGGGGAAUAACGUCCGGAACGGACGCUAAUACCGCAUAAUGCAGCGGCAUCGCAAGAUGACAGUUGUUAAAGAUUUAUCGCUUGAAGAGGAGCUUGCGGCAGAUUAGCUAGUUGGUAAGGUAACGGCUUACCAAGGCUACGAUCUGUAUCCGGUCUAAGAGGACGGUCGGACACACUGACACUGAAUAACGGGUCAGACUCCUACGGGAGGCAGCAGUCGGGAAUUUUGGGCAAUGGGCGAAAGCCUGACCCAGCAACGCCGCGUGAAGGAUGAAGUAUUUCGGGUANGUAAACUUCGAAAGAAUAGGAAGAAUUAAUGACGGUACUAUUU
RNAcentral lists this ribosomal RNA (443 nucleotides) under uncultured bacterium. RNAcentral's name for it is "bacterial SSU rRNA". It matches the Rfam family "Bacterial small subunit ribosomal RNA", at positions 32 to 483 of the family's 1533-position model. The record is from RNAcentral.